AGUGAACGCUGGCGGUAGGCCUAACACAUGCAAGUCGAACGGCAGCACAGUAAGAGCUUGCUCUUACGGGUGGCGAGUGGCGGACGGGUGAGGAAUACAUCGGAAUCUACUUUUUCGUGGGGGAUAACGUAGGGAAACUUACGCUAAUACCGCAUACGACCUACGGGUGAAAGCAGUGGAUCUUCUGACCUUGCGCGAUUGAAUGAGCCGAUGUCGGAUUAGCUAGUUGGCGGGGUAAAGGCCCACCAAGGCGACGAUCCGUAGCUGGUCUGAGAGGAUGAUCAGCCACACUGGAACGGAGACACGGUCAAGAGUCCUACGGGAGGCAGCAGAGGGGAAUAUUGGACAAUGGGCGCAAGCAUGAUACAGCCAUACCGCGUGGGUGAAGAAGGCCUUCGGGUUGUAAAGCCCUUUUGUUGGGAAAGAAAAGCAGCAGGUUAAUACCACGCUGUUCUGACGGUACCCAAAGAAUAAGCACCGGCUAACUUCGUG
Molecule: ribosomal RNA, 492 nt
Filed under: uncultured bacterium
Lineage: Bacteria
Description: partial 16S ribosomal RNA
Rfam family: Bacterial small subunit ribosomal RNA
Source: RNAcentral